This 1310-nucleotide long non-coding RNA is filed under the name Physcomitrium patens. RNAcentral's name for it is "long non-coding RNA (PPAT_LNC005274)". The record is from RNAcentral. Lineage: Eukaryota; Viridiplantae; Streptophyta; Bryopsida; Funariales; Funariaceae.
AACGACAAGUCUUAACAACUCUAAUAGAUUCUUAAAUAAAUUAUAAUUAAAGAUUAGCAAAUAUAAUCAAACAUUAAUCAAAUUCAAUCAAAAUUGUAAAGGAAUUAUGUAAGAAACACAAAGUAUUCCUAAAGAUCUUUUAAAGAAAUCAUAAAGAAAUAAUAUAGGACUUCAAAAAUAUACUAAAAUAGAAAUCUUAAUAAAAUAUUAAAAUAAAAUAUAAAAACCUUAAUUAAAUCCUAACCAAAUCCUAAAUAAAUCCUAGUCAAAUUCUAAUCAAAUUCUAAUCAAAUCUUAAUCAAAUCUUAAUCAAAUUCCAAUAAAAUCUUCACCAAAUCUUAAUCAAAUCCUAAUCAAAUCCUAACCAAAUCCUAAUCAAAUCCUAAUCAAUCCUAAAUAAAUCCUAAUGAAAUUCUAACAAAAUCUUAAUUAAAUCCUAACCAAAUCCUAAUCAAUCCUAAAUAAAUUCUAGUCAAAUCUUAAACAAAUCCUAACCAAAUUCUAGUCAAACUUUAAUAAAAUUCUAAAUAAAUUCUAAUCAAAUCUUAAUCAAAUCCUAAAUAAAUUCUUAUUAAAUCCUAAAUAAAUCUUAGUCAAAUUCUAAACAUGUCCUAAUCAAAUCCUAAACAAAAUUUAACCAAAUUUUAAUUAAAUUCUAAUCAAAUCUUAAUCAAAUCCUAGUCAAAUACUAAAUAAAUCCUAAAUAAAUCCUAAUAAAAUCCUAACCAAAUCCUAAAUAAAUCCUAGUCAAAUUUUAAAUAAAUUUUAACCAAACUCUAAUCAAAUCUUAAAUAAAUCCCAGUCAAAUCAUAAAUAAAUCCUAAUCAAAUCCUAAAUAAACCUUACCCAAAUCCUAAUCAAAUCCUAAAUAUAUUCUAACCAAAUCCUAAAUAAUUCCAAGUAAUUCCUAUAGUAGGUUUAAACCUCAAUAACUAAUGAAUAAAUCAAAUUUUUCACUCCUCUUCACAAUUAAGUUGGCAACAAGUAAAAUUUUUUUGAAGAAGAUCAAACUCACCAAAAAGAAGAUCAAUCCUAAUAUUUUCUUGGGUAUUGGCUAGCUUCCUUCUUCAAUGUAAAUGUUAAAUUUCUAGCAUUAAUAUCUCCUUAUCAAACCAUUCUAUUGAUCUCAAAUAUCUUAUAUAUAUAGAAAAAUAAGUUUAUUACCCACAUAUAUAAUUUUUAUUCUAAUCCAAUCAAUAGAUUGCAAGAAAUCUUAGAAAUCUUCACUGGACCUAAAACUCUACUUCUCGAGACCCUGACCCACUUAAACCUCAAUAAUCCUUGAUCCAACCCUUCCAUCAAGCUUAAAC